ACGGAGAUUACAGGCGGAAGUUUUCGGAUGGAAGCUUGUAAACUUAGUGGCGGACGGGUGAGUAACACGUGAGCAACCUGCCUAUCAGAGGGGGAUAACGAUUGGAAACGAUCGCUAAUACCGCAUGACAUAGCGGAAUCGCAUGGUUCUGUUAUCAAAGAUUUUAUCGCUGAUAGAUGGGCUCGCGUCCGAUUAGAUAGUUGGUGAGGUAACGGCUCACCAAGUCAACGAUCAGUAGCCGGACUGGGAGGUUGACCGGCCACAUUGGAACUGAGAAACGGUCCAGACUCCUACGGGAGGCAGCAGUGGGGAAUAUUGGGCAAUGGGCGAAAGCCUGACCCAGCAACGCCGUGUGAAGGAAGAAGGUCUUCGGAUUGUAAACUUUUGUCUUGUGGGACGAUAAUGACGGUACCAUAGGAGGAAGCCACGACUAACUACGUGCCAGCAGUCGCGGUAAUACGUAGGUGGCGAGCGUUAUCCGGAAUUAUUGGGUGUAAAGGGUGCGUAGGCGGGCUGUAAAGUCAGAUGUGAAAGGCUGGGGCUUAACCCUGGGACUGCAUUUGAAACUUAUGGUCUUGAGUGAAGUAGAGGUAAGCGGAAUUCCCAGUGUAGCGGUGAAAUGCGUAGAUAUUGGGAGGAACACCAGUGGCGAAGGCGGCUUACUGGGCUUU
RNAcentral lists this ribosomal RNA (671 nucleotides) under uncultured bacterium. RNAcentral describes it as "bacterial SSU rRNA". It matches the Rfam family "Bacterial small subunit ribosomal RNA", at positions 55 to 737 of the family's 1533-position model. The record is from RNAcentral.